RNAcentral lists this ribosomal RNA (629 nucleotides) under uncultured bacterium. Its description in RNAcentral is "bacterial SSU rRNA". It matches the Rfam family "Bacterial small subunit ribosomal RNA", at positions 65 to 713 of the family's 1533-position model. The record is from RNAcentral.
AGUGGAGUGAUGAGUGCUGGAUAAAUUGCUAGCGGCGGACGGGUGCGUAACACGUGGGUAACCUGCCCCUAUCACUGGGAUAACACACUGAAAAGUGUGCUAAUACCAGAUAACAUAAGCUUUUGGCAUCAUUAGCUUAUCAAAGAAUUUCGGAUAGGGAUGGGCCCGCGUCUGAUUAGCUAGUUGGUGAGGUAACGGCUCACCAAGGCAACGAUCAGUAGCCGACCUGAGAGGGUGAUCGGCCACACUGGAACUGAGACACGGUCCAGACUCCUACGGGAGGCAGCAGUGGGGAAUAUUGCACAAUGGGCGAAAGCCUGAUGCAGCAACGCCGCGUGAGCGAUGAAGGCCUUCGGGUCGUAAAGCUCUGUCCUAUGGGAAGAUAAUGACGGUACCAUAGGAGGAAGCCCCGGCUAACUACGUGCCAGCAGCCGCGGUAAUACGUAGGGGGCAAGCGUUAUCCGGAAUUACUGGGCGUAAAGGGUGCGUAGGCGGUUUAUCAAGUCAGGGGUGAAAGGCUACGGCUCAACCGUAGUGAGCCUCUGAAACUGGUGAACUUGAGUGUAGGAGAGGAAAGUGGAAUUCCCAGUGUAGCGGUGAAAUGCGUAGAUAUUGGGAGGAACACCAGU